UACGAAGGGGGCUAGCGUUGCUCGGAAUUACUGGGCGUAAAGCGCACGUAGGCGGCUUUCUAAGUCGGGGGUGAAAUCCUGGAGCUCAACUCCAGAACUGCCUUCGAUACUGGAGAGCUUGAGUCCGGGAGAGGUGAGUGGAACUGCGAGUGUAGAGGUGAAAUUCGUAGAUAUUCGCAAGAACACCAGUGGCGAAGGCGGCUCACUGGCCCGAUACUGACGCUGAGGCACGAAAAGUGUGGGGGAUCAAACAGG
RNAcentral lists this ribosomal RNA (255 nucleotides) under uncultured bacterium. RNAcentral's name for it is "partial 16S ribosomal RNA". It matches the Rfam family "Bacterial small subunit ribosomal RNA", at positions 524 to 776 of the family's 1533-position model. The record is from RNAcentral.